This 404-nucleotide unclassified non-coding RNA is filed under the name soil metagenome. Its description in RNAcentral is "partial contains 5.8S ribosomal RNA, internal transcribed spacer 2, and large subunit ribosomal RNA". The stretch from base 1 to 121 matches the Rfam family "5.8S ribosomal RNA", at positions 35 to 154 of the family's 154-position model. The record is from RNAcentral.
GAUGAAGAACGUAGCGAAAUGCGAUAAGUAAUGUGAAUUGCAGAAUUCAGUGAAUCAUCGAAUCUUUGAACGCACCUUGCGCCCUUUGGCUAUUCCGAAGGGCAUGCCUGUUUGAGUAUCAUGAACACCUCAACUCUCAUGGUUUGCCAUGAUGAGCUUGGACUUUGGGGGUCUUGCCGGCCUAUGGGUCGGCUCCUCUCAAAUUAAUCAGCUUGCCAGUGUUUGGUGGCAUCACAGGUGUGAUAACUAUCUACGCUUGUGGUUUUCCAUCAGGUAACCUUCAGUGAUGGAGGUUCGCUGGGGCUCAUAAAUGGCUCUCAUCAGUGAGGACAGCUUUUUUGAACGUUUGAUCUCAAAUCAGGUAGGACUACCCGCUGAACUUAAGCAUAUCAAUAAGCGGAGGA